This is a non-coding RNA of Phascolarctos cinereus (koala), 1690 nucleotides long. NCBI's taxonomy places the organism in Eukaryota, Metazoa, Chordata, Mammalia, Diprotodontia, Phascolarctidae. The record is from RefSeq and is a predicted model, not a curated record.
GUUCCCACAUCCGUAAAAUGGCAAUAAUAAUGGCAUGGCACCUCCCUUCCAGGCUGUUGUGAAUUUGUAAAUCAGUCACACAGUAGGCACCCAACAAAUGCCCCUUCUCUUGGGACUCUGGAAGUGGUAGGUGAUUAAUUCAUGCUUGCUGAAUGGACCUGAAAGGCCCGUGGGCGUGUAUCCAGACCCAAGACCUGUGUAAGAGCUCCCCAGGUUCUGCUGGGCUGACGCCCGACAGAGGACUGACUGCCUCAGGAAGCAAUCGGCUCCCAUCAUUAGGUCUGUGGUUCACAAGGUGGUGAACAACCAUUGGGCAGGGACGUUUUCAAAGGGCUUUCUGGUCAGGUGGAAGACUGGACCAUGUGAUCUCUGAGGGCCGCUCCAGCCCUGAAAUUGUGCUACUGUGAAAACCUUUGCCAAGAAAAAUUAAUGGGGGAAAAAAUGGCAAAGGCCAGAUGGAGGCCACUCAUAUUUCUAAGGCAGACUUGACAAGAGUCUGGCACUGACUUCACAGAAAACUCUAGACUACGGAUCAGAAGGCCGGGAUGAAGCUGGUGGCCACAAGCUGAGUCUGAAGGUGCCUGGACACAGAAGGGGAAGCAUCCAGUAGGCACCUGGGGAAGAGGGGGGCUGAACUCUGGUGUGAGGUGUGAGGUGUGAGGGCGUGAGGGCACGACUAACAGUGUGGAUGUGUGCAGGUACCGGGAGUACUACAUCGAGAGGUCGGGAUCAUUUACUCUAACAACAGCGACUCCCAUUUCUCCCUCAGAACAGCCCUGUGGCAGACAGGGCUCAGGACAGUAUCCCCCAUUUGAAAGAUGAGUUAACUGAGGCUCUGACAAGGGAAAGGCCUGCCUGCCCCGCUCAGCGCACCCCGCCCGUCACCGCCUGUCGGCGCAUGCGCCGCUCCUGGAGCGCCGGAGUCACGUGGGGCCCUUGGACCCCGCCCCCAACAGACAGAGAACACACAUGGACCGCUGGAAGAAAGCAAGAGAGGGUGGUACUCACUUGGGCACCCUGUGACUGAAGGCCAACUGUCCCCCAGCUGGAGAUUUGGAGGUGAGCUGAGAGUGAAGGGAACGUGGCGGGCAGAAGGGAGGCAUAGGAUAGCAUCUGGAGAGCGUGCAUCAGGGCAGAGGUAGCUCAGGGGUGGGAAGGGCCAAGUAGCCAGGCUCUUCGAUAUUGAACCCAGAGAUCAUAUCAUGCUUCCCCUCCUCCACAGUGUCACCCCUCCCUUCUCUAGGCAGAAGGCCCCCAGUUCUGUCAGCUGAGGCCCUUCACCAUCCUCUCAGUCCUCAGGCCCAGCUGAUCAGGCCUGGGCUUUCCCCUGGGCUCUUGUUCCAGAUCACCAACUGCAUUUGAGAUUUCUUUGACGCGAUGUCCCAGAGACGUUUCCAACUCAGUUUAUCUUCUCCCCCCCUCCCCCCAAUCAACUGUCAGUCUUCCUAACUCUCCUAUGACUACCUGGGACACUCAGAAUCUUCCCGGUCACCCAGGCUCAGAACCUUACCAUCAUCCUUGAACUGUAACACCCCAGGACAUCCCACUGCCCCUUCCUGCCUCUGUGCCUUUGCCUUGGCUUACCCCUAGGCCUGAAAGAGCCUCUUCCUUGGUCUCCUCCAGUCUCUCCCCCAGAGGCAGAAAGUGAAGAGGAAUUAAGAAGCCUCUGGUGGAGGAGAGUACAAAAGCU